GACGAGCCGUGCGACGUUGUUCGGAAUCACUGGGCUUAAAGGGCGCGUAGGCGGGCGUUCAAGUCCGGGGUGAAAGCCCCCGCUUAACGGGGAAGUGCUCCGGAUACUGGAGGUCUCGAGGGGGGUAGGGCGUGCGGAACAGCCGGUGGAGCGGUGAAAUGCGUUGAUAUCGGCUGGAACUCCGGUGGCGAAAGCGGCACGCUGGACCUCUACUGACGCUGAGGCGCGAAAGCCAGGGGAGCGAACGGGAUUAGAAACCCCAGUAGU
This 267-nucleotide ribosomal RNA is filed under the name uncultured bacterium. Its description in RNAcentral is "partial 16S ribosomal RNA". It matches the Rfam family "Bacterial small subunit ribosomal RNA", at positions 524 to 794 of the family's 1533-position model. The record is from RNAcentral.